GACGAACGCUGGCGGCGUGCUUAACACAUGCAAGUCGAACGGAAAGGCCCUGCUUUUGUGGGGUGCUCGAGUGGCGAACGGGUGAGUAGCACGUGAGUAACCUGCCCUUGACUUUGGGAUAACUUCAGGAAACUGGGGCUAAUACCGGAUAGGAGCUCCUGCUGCAUGGUGGGGGUUGGAAAGUUUCGGCGGUUGGGGAUGGACUCGCGGCUUAUCAGCUUGUUGGUGGGGUAGUGGCUUACCAAGGCUUUGACGGGUAGCCGGCCUGAGAGGGUGACCGGCCACAUUGGGACUGAGAUACGGCCCAGACUCCUACGGGAGGCAGCAGUGGGGAAUAUUGCACAAUGGGCGGAAGCCUGAUGCAGCAACGCCGCGUGCGGGAUGACGGCCUUCGGGUUGUAAACCGCUUUCGCCUGUGACGAAGCGUGAGUGACGGUAAUGUGUAAAGAAGCACCGGCUAACUACGUG
Molecule: ribosomal RNA, 468 nt
Filed under: uncultured bacterium
Lineage: Bacteria
Description: partial 16S ribosomal RNA
Rfam family: Bacterial small subunit ribosomal RNA
Source: RNAcentral